CUCUUAUUAAGAGAGGCGGAGGGACUGGCCCUAUGAUGCCCGGCAACCAUUCAAUCAUUUUAUUGUAAAGGUGCUAAUUCCUGCAUAGCAAAUUGCUAUGACAGAUAAGAG
RNAcentral lists this non-coding RNA (111 nucleotides) under Bacillus sp. (in: firmicutes). Its description in RNAcentral is "Bacillus sp. SAM-I sequence". It matches the Rfam family "SAM riboswitch aptamer (S box leader)". Rfam says of the family: The SAM riboswitch is found upstream of a number of genes which code for proteins involved in methionine or cysteine biosynthesis in Gram-positive bacteria. The SAM riboswitch acts at the level of transcription termination control. The predicted structure consists of a complex stem-loop region followed by a single stem loop terminator region. Lineage: Bacteria; Bacillati; Bacillota; Bacilli; Caryophanales; Bacillaceae. The record is from RNAcentral.